RNAcentral lists this transfer RNA (74 nucleotides) under Bos taurus (domestic cattle). It matches the Rfam family "tRNA". Rfam says of the family: Transfer RNA (tRNA) molecules are approximately 80 nucleotides in length. Their secondary structure includes four short double-helical elements and three loops (D, anti-codon, and T loops). Further hydrogen bonds mediate the characteristic L-shaped molecular structure. tRNAs have two regions of fundamental functional importance: the anti-codon, which is responsible for specific mRNA codon recognition, and the 3' end, to which the tRNAs corresponding amino acid is attached (by aminoacyl-tRNA synthetases). tRNAs cope with the degeneracy of the genetic code in two manners: having more than one tRNA (with a specific anti-codon) for a particular amino acid; and 'wobble' base-pairing, i.e. permitting non-standard base-pairing at the 3rd anti-codon position. Lineage: Eukaryota; Metazoa; Chordata; Mammalia; Artiodactyla; Bovidae. RNAcentral also lists the same sequence under 4 other names. The record is from Rfam by way of RNAcentral.
UCCCUGGUGGUCCAGUGGCUAAGACUCCACACUCCCAAUGCCAGGAGGCCCAGGUUCGAUCCUUGGCCAGAGAA